UGGGGAAUAUUGCACAAUGGAGGGAACUCUGAUGCAGCGACGCCGCGUGAACGAAGAAGGCUUUCGAGUCGUAAAGUUCUUUUAUAUGGGAAGAUAAUGACGGUACCAUAAGAAAAAGCCCCGGCUAACUACGUGCCAGCAGCCGCGGUAAUACGUAGGGGGCUAGCGUUGUCCGGAAUCACUGGGCGUAAAGGGUUCGCAGGCGGAAAUGCAAGUCAGGUGUAAAAGGCAGUAGCUUAACUACUGUAAGCAUUUGAAACUGCAUAUCUUGAGAAGAGUAGAGGUAAGUGGAAUUUUUAGUGUAGCGGUGAAAUGCGUAGAUAUUAAAAAGAAUACCGGUGGCGAAGGCGACUUACUGGGCUCAUUCUGACGCUGAGGAACGAAAGCGUGGGUAGUAAACAGG
RNAcentral lists this ribosomal RNA (403 nucleotides) under bacterium. RNAcentral describes it as "partial 16S ribosomal RNA". It matches the Rfam family "Bacterial small subunit ribosomal RNA", at positions 355 to 776 of the family's 1533-position model. RNAcentral also lists the same sequence under 1 other name. The record is from RNAcentral.